RNAcentral lists this transfer RNA (67 nucleotides) under Megacopta bituminata. RNAcentral's name for it is "tRNA-Arg". Lineage: Eukaryota; Metazoa; Arthropoda; Insecta; Hemiptera; Plataspidae. The record is from RNAcentral.
AGAUAUUGAAGUAAAACUUUACAUUUAGUUUCGACCUAAAAAUUAGGAUAUUAUUAUCCCCUAUCUA